Molecule: ribosomal RNA, 1984 nt
Filed under: human gut metagenome
Description: bacterial LSU rRNA
Rfam family: Bacterial large subunit ribosomal RNA
Source: RNAcentral
ACAAGCAAACAAGAGCAUCGGGUGGAUGCCUUGGCGUCGGAAGGCGAUGAAAGACGCGGUAAGCUGCGAUAAGCAUCGGGGAGGAGCUAAACAUCCUUUGAUCCGGGGAUUUCUGAAUAGGGAAACCCGGCGGGAGUCAUGUCCCGUCGCCUGCAGGUGAAUACAUAGCCUGCAAGGAGCCAACUCGGGGAAGUGAAACAUCUCAGUACCCGAAGGAAAGGAAAUCAAACGAGACUCCCUCAGUAGCGGCGAGCGAAGGGGGAAGAGCCCAAACCGUGCGGAUUCGUCCGUGCGGGGUUGUAGGACCGGCAUAAGUGAUUCGCGAGUAGGCAGGGGAAGGAGGCUGGAAAGCCUCGCCAAAGCGGGUGAAAGCCCCGUACCCGAACCUGAAAACGACGCUGCCGGCACCUGAGUACCGCGAGGCACGUGAAACCUCGUGGGAAUCUGGGAGGACCAUCUUCCAAGGCUAAGUACUAACCGACGACCGAUAGUGCACCAGUACCGUGAGGGAAAGGUGAAAAGAACCCCUGUCAGGGGAGUGAAAUAGAAUCUGAAACCUGAUGCUUACAAGCUGUGGGAGCCGGGCAUGCCCGGUGACCACGUGCCUUUUGCAUAAUGAGUCAGCGAGUUGAUCUGUACUGCGAGGUUAAGCGCAAGUGGAGCCGUAGCGAAAGCGAGUCUGAAUAGGGCGACAAGUAGUGCGGAUCAGACCCGAAACCGGGUGAUCUAUCCAUGAGCAGGUUGAAGCAAGGGUAAAACCUUGUGGAGGACCGAACCAAUAACGGCUGAAAACGUUUUGGAUGACUUGUGGAUAGGGGUGAAAGGCCAAUCAAACCCGGUGAUAGCUGGUUCUCCCCGAAAUAUAUUGAGGUAUAGCCUCGUGGAUUGUCUAUUGGAGGUAAAGCACUGACAGAGCUAGGGGUCCUACCAGAUUACCAAACUCUUUCAAACUCAGAAUGCCAAUCAGAUGUACCACGGGAGUCAGACGGCGGGUGCUAAGGUUCGUCGUCGAGAGGGUAAGAGCCCAGAUCAACAGCUAAGGCCUCCAAAUCUAUGCUCAGUGGUGAAGGUGGUGACGUUGUAGAGACACCCAGGACGUUGGCUUAGAAGCAGCCAUCGUUUAAAGAAAGCGUAAUAGCUCACUGGUCUAAUGACGUUGCGCCGAAAAUGUAACGGGGCUAAGCAUAGUGCCGAAGCUUUGAAUUCCGCGUAUGCGGUCUGGUAGGGGAGCGUUCUUCAUGGGCUGAAGGCGUGCUGUAAAGCACGUUGGACUGUGGAGAAGUGAUUAUGCUGACAUGAGUAACGAUAAAACGGGUGAAAAACCCGUUCGCCGUAAACCCAAGGUUUCCUGGGUAAAGGUAAUCUUCCCAGGGUUAGUCGGCCCCUAAGGCGAGGCUGAAAGGCGUAGCUGAUGGGAAACGAGUUAAUAUUCUCGUACUUGUGUGUCCGCGCGAUGGAGGGACGCAGGAAGGUAAACGGUCCGGGUGUUGGUAUACCCGGUGCAAGCAGGUAGGCGUGCAGCACAGGCAAAUCCGUGCUGCUCUACGCUGAGACGCGAGUCCGUGGCCGCAAGGCCUGAAGCCGUUGAGCCUCUACUGCCUAGAAAAGCUCCUAAGUAUAGGAUACGCAAACCGUACUGCAAACCAACUCAGGUGGGUGGGAUGAAUAAUCCAAGGCGCUCGAGAGAACUCUGGCCAAGGAACUCGGCAAAAUAACCCCGUAACUUCGGAAGAAGGGGUGCUCUUUUGGGUAAAGUUGAUUCACUUAACCAGCCCGAGGGAGCCGCAGAGAAAUGGUGGUGGCGACUGUUUACUAAAAACAUAGGUCUGUGCCAAGUCGUAAAGACGACGUAUACGGACUGACGCCUGCCCGGUGCCGGAAGGUUAAAAGGAGGGGUCAGCGCAAGCGAAGCUCCGAAUUGAAGCCCCGGUAAACGGCGGCCGUAACUAUAACGGUCCUAAGGUAGCGAAAUUCCUUGUCGGGU